AAAGAUCUAAGAAAAUUAUAAAAUUUUUGUUUCAAAAAAAUUUUUUAAAUUUUCUUAGUUGUGAUAUUCUAAUCGCUUUUAUUAAUAUCUAGUUGCUUUUUAAAUAAAUUUAGUUUAAAAUGAUAAGGAAAAGGUUUUUUAAAAAUUUAUUCUAAAAUCGUUUUUAAGUUUUUGGGGAUGAGCUCAAAAAUUAUUAUAUAAGAAUUGAUAAAUUUUGUAUUUUUAGUAGGCUUAGAAUUAGCUAUUUGAUAUUGUUAUAAAUUUUAAUUUUAAGUUUUUGAUUUUUAUAUCUUUUUUUUGCAUAAAGCUGACUAACAAAUUUAUUUUAUUUUGUAAAUAUGAUAACAUUAGUAGAUUUUAAAAUAUAGAUUUAUUUUUAAAUUUUUCUGUAUUUUCUUUCAUCAAAAUUUUAACAAAAGAACUCGGCAAAUAUAAUUUCCGAAUGUUUAACAAAAACAUUUCCUCCUAGAUUAGGAGGUAAGGCCUGCUCACUGAUCUUUUAAAGAGCCGCAGUAUCCUAACUGUGCUAAGGUAGCAUAAUCAUUAGUCUUUUAAUUGGAGACUGGUAUGAAUGGCUCAACGAGAAAUUGACUUUUUUUGUUAUAUAAAUCGAAUUUAAUUUUUUAGUGAAAAAGCUAAAAUUUUUCAGAAAGACGAGAAGACCCUAUAGAGUUUUAUAUUUUGUAAUAUUUUUUCUUAUUAGUUUUUUUUGGACUAAAUAUAAAAAAAUAUUUUGUUGGGGCGACAUUUAGAUAAAAAAAACUCUUUAUUUUUUAAAUUUCUAUAGAAAUAUAAUUGAUCCUUAAGUAAAGAUCAAAAGAAAAAAUUACCUUAGGGAUAACAGCGUAAUCUUUUUUGAGAGUUCUAAUCGACAAAAAGGUUUGCGACCU
This 890-nucleotide ribosomal RNA is filed under the name Pyrgoma cancellatum. RNAcentral's name for it is "partial 16S large subunit ribosomal RNA". The stretch from base 398 to 640 matches the Rfam family "Archaeal large subunit ribosomal RNA", at positions 1786 to 2143 of the family's 2987-position model. Lineage: Eukaryota; Metazoa; Arthropoda; Thecostraca; Balanomorpha; Pyrgomatidae. The record is from RNAcentral.